Long non-coding RNA from Vidua chalybeata, 1321 nucleotides. RefSeq lists it as uncharacterized. NCBI's taxonomy places the organism in Eukaryota, Metazoa, Chordata, Aves, Passeriformes, Viduidae. The transcript has 4 exons. The record is from RefSeq and is a predicted model, not a curated record.
GUCCUGGCUGCGGCCAUGGAUGCUGCGCUCUCGCGAGAGCUGCGCAGCCUCACGCGGACAGGGAGCGCAUGCGCCACUUGCCGAUGGACGCCGCUGGGGCACCCCGGAUUCUGGUGGACUUUCUAGAAAAAUAGUCAGUGAAGAAGGAAGCUUUGCAUAUUUACUCCUGUUGAGAAGAACCUAAUCCCAGAUACCUUCAUCUACCAUCCUGAACAAAUAAAGCCAGUUACCAUGUGUAGAUAUUACACAUAGUAUAGGUGAUUACUACAUAUGCUGAAACCCACAAAGCCUACAGCAAUGCAAUUCAUUAAAAAGGCUGGAUACAUUUUUGAAGGUGUUCACAUAGAAGCCAAUUCGUCUACGAAAGAUGGCACAAAGAAACGAAAAAGAGAAUAAAAGUCAACAAAGUUGAGACUACUUCACAUCAGAUGUCUUCAGCGUUUUUUAAAGAAGAGUGGAAAAGGAUGGUCUCAACUACAGCACAAGCACAGGGAAGGCAAGAUGCUCUGGGCUUCCAUCUCCUGCCAGACAGCACACAACCAUUUCUUGAAAGCAGAAAGGUACCAUUCCAGGAGCCCCUGUGCCCAAAUCUUAUCACAACAUCAAGGUGAUGCAGUUGCAUCUUCGGUCAGCUUUAAUGUAUACAGCUCAGUACAGCCCAAGUGUGGGUGUCCCAAGCUCAGCUUUGAAACACAUGCACAUGUAUAUAAAAGAAAAUAAUUUAAUAUAGACUAGACGUUUCUGUGCAUUUAGUCAAGAAUGUGCUUACUUGAGGUGAAUUAUUGCAUACUUAUUCAUUUCAAAAGUAGAAGCUGUUUUCUUAGGUUUUGUUUUAUUCUUUUUCCUAUUUAAAACUUCCAUGUAUAAUUUCUCCCAAAUUUGAAUAAGCCUGCAAAAUGUCAACUCAAUAAUUAAUUUUCUUCCUGAAGAAUUUUAAUAAUUAAAAUAAAUGACUCUGAAAGCAAUUGCUUAGUAAAUUAUGUGUAUUGCUCAAAUUAAAUUCUACCUCUCCCUGAGACUAGCUACUGCUUUUUAUACAAAAUUUACUGAAGUAAAAGGGCCCUCACUCUAAGUCAUUCAUAUGCAGUUUUACUUUUAGUAGGCCCAUAAAACAAAUAUCCCUAAGUGCUAAGAAGGUUUACACUGAAAUAGGCAGAAACACAGCUGGGAAAUCCUCUGUUGGUCUGAAAUCUAACAGGAUUAAAUUUAGAAGGCAGGGAAGACAAACGAUACUUCACAUUUUCAUUCCAGAUUGUCAAUUGUUAAAGAACAUAACACACUAAUGAAAUGCUUAAUUUUCUACUGCUUUUGUUCUCCCAUC